This 498-nucleotide ribosomal RNA is filed under the name uncultured bacterium. RNAcentral's name for it is "partial 16S ribosomal RNA". It matches the Rfam family "Bacterial small subunit ribosomal RNA", at positions 30 to 523 of the family's 1533-position model. The record is from RNAcentral.
AUUGAACGCUGGCGGCAUGCCUUACACAUGCAAGUCGAACGGCAACAGGUCUUCGGAUGCUGACGAGUGGCGAACGGGUGAGUAAUACAUCGGAACGUGCCUAGUAGUGGGGGAUAACUACUCGAAAGAGUGGCUAAUACCGCAUGAGAUCUACGGAUGAAAGCAGGGGAUCGCAAGACCUUGUGCUACUAGAGCGGCCGAUGGCAGAUUAGGUAGUUGGUGGGAUAAAAGCUUACCAAGCCGACGAUCUGUAGCUGGUCUGAGAGGACGAUCGGCCACACUGGGACUGAGAAACGGCCCAGACUCCUACGGGAGGCAGCAGUGGGGAAUUUUGGACAAUGGGCGCAAGCCUGAUCCAGCAAUGCCGCGUGCAGGAUGAAGGCCUUCGGGUUGUAAACUGCUUUUGUACGGAACGAAAAGCCCCGGGUUAAUACCCUGGGGUCAUGACGGUACCGUAAGAAUAAGCACCGGCUAACUACGUGCCAGCCGCCGCCGUAA